GCGGAAGUGGCGGAAUUGGUAGACGCACCAGAUUUAGGUUCUGGCGCCGUAAGGUGUGAGAGUUCACGUCUUUCCUUCGGCACCA
This 85-nucleotide transfer RNA is filed under the name Vibrio parahaemolyticus. RNAcentral describes it as "tRNA-Leu". It matches the Rfam family "tRNA". Rfam says of the family: Transfer RNA (tRNA) molecules are approximately 80 nucleotides in length. Their secondary structure includes four short double-helical elements and three loops (D, anti-codon, and T loops). The record is from RNAcentral. Lineage: Bacteria; Pseudomonadati; Pseudomonadota; Gammaproteobacteria; Vibrionales; Vibrionaceae.